GAGUGAACGCUGGCGGUAGGCCUAACCCCUGCAAGUCGAACGGCAGCCCAGUAAGAGCUUGCUCUUACGGGUGGCGAGUGGCGGACGGGUGAGGAAUACAUCGGAAUCUACUUUUUCGUGGGGGAUAACGUAGGGAAACUUACGCUAAUACCGCAUACGACCUACGGGUGAAAGCAGGGGAUCUUCGGACCUUGCGCGAUUGAAUGAGCCGAUGUCGGAUUAGCUAGUUGGCGGGGUAAAGGCCCACCAAGGCGACGAUCCGUAGCUGGUCUGAGAGGAUGAUCAGCCACACUGGAACUGAGACACGGUCCAGACUCCUACGGGAGGCAGCAGUGGGGAAUAUUGGACAAUGGGCGCAAGCCUGAUCCAGCCAUACCGCGUGGGUGAAGAAGGCCUUCGGGUUGUAAAGCCCUUUUGUUGGGAAAGAAAAGCAGCAGGUUAAUACCCCGCUGUUCUGACGGUACCCAAAGAAUAAGCACCGGCUAACUUCGUG
Molecule: ribosomal RNA, 493 nt
Filed under: uncultured bacterium
Lineage: Bacteria
Description: partial 16S ribosomal RNA
Rfam family: Bacterial small subunit ribosomal RNA
Source: RNAcentral